Molecule: ribosomal RNA, 469 nt
Filed under: uncultured bacterium
Lineage: Bacteria
Description: partial 16S ribosomal RNA
Rfam family: Bacterial small subunit ribosomal RNA
Source: RNAcentral
GACGAACGCUGGCGGCGUGCUUAACACAUGCAAGUCGAACGGAAAGGCCCUGCUUGCAGGGUGCUCGAGUGGCGAACGGGUGAGUAACACGUGGGUGAUCUGCCCCUUACUUUGGGAUAAGCCUGGGAAACUGGGUCUAAUACUGGAUAGGACCAUGCUGUAGGUGGUGUGGUGGAAAGAUUAGUUUCGGUAAGGGAUGAGCUCGCGGCCUAUCAGCUUGUUGGUGGGGUAAUGGCCUACCAAGGCGUCGACGGGUAGCCGGCCUGAGAGGGUGGACGGCCACAUUGGGACUGAGAUACGGCCCAGACUCCUACGGGAGGCAGCAGUGGGGAAUAUUGCACAAUAGGCGCAAGCCUGAUGCAGCGACGCCGCGUGGGGGAUGACGGCCUUCGGGCUGUAAACUCCUUUCAGCCAUGACGAAGCCCUUGUGGUGACGGUAGUGGUAGAAGAAGCACCGGCUAACUACGUG